GUGUAGAAGGCGCCAGGUCGCCGUAGUCUCGCUCGUCUCCGUGCAUUCCGCGAUCUCCGUGCCCGUCGACCACCGUGGUGCUCGCCGGCGACGGACGGAGCGAGAAUGCAGGGCGGAUCUAGCGGCAUCGUCUACGGCGGCCUCAAGUACCAGGCGCGGUGCAUCGCCGACGUGCGCGCGGCCGCCGGGUCGACCACCUUCCUCGCCGGAACCCUCAGUCUCAAGGAGGAGAACGAGGUGCACCUGAUCCGGUUUUCACCGGCGGAGAGCGAGCUGGUGUGCGACGGGCUGUUCUACCAUCCAAACGAGAUCUGGGACCUUAAGUCUUGCCCCUUCGAUCAUAGGGUCUUCUCCACAGUCUACACGUCUGGCGAGGGCUAUGGUGCAUCUGUUUGGAAGAUCCCGGAGCUGCACGGGCAGUCGAAUUCGCCGCCACUUGAGCAGCUUUUCACGCUUGAUGAGCACACGGGCAAAAUAAGAUGUGUUCUCUGGUGGCCACUAGGGAAGCACGACAAGUUAAUUAGUAUUGAUGACAGAAAUAUUUUCCUCUGGAAUAUAGAUGCAUCAAAUAAGUCAGCCAAGGUGAUGCAAAAGGGGUCUGCUGACAUGCUUCCCAAUUUACGUGGUGGAUCUUGGGAUCCACACGAUCACAAUUCAAUUGCUGCAAUUACUGAUUCCUCACUUCACUGCUGGGAUCUCCGUUCUAUGAAGAAAUCAAAUGCAAUUGAGCAUGCGCAUUUUCGGGAUGUGGAUUAUAACCCCAAGAAACAGCACUUAAUUACAACAGCAGAAGAUGAAUUUGGUAUCCGUUUGUGGGAUCUCAGAAUGCUUAAGUAUCCUCUGAAGAAUCUCCCUGGGCAUUCGCAUUGGACAUGGGCUGUUCGGCACAAUCCUGAGCAUGACCAGUUGAUUCUGAGUGCUGGAACAGAUUCAACUGUCAAUUUGUGGUUUGCUAAAGUUGGCACUGAUGACUCAGGACCUGAAAGUCCUCCUGGUUCACCCACAAGAGAAGAAGAACCAUUACUAAAUUCAUACACUGAUUAUGAAGAUAGCAUAUACGGUAUUGCAUGGAGCUCCCAUGAUCCGUCAUUAUUUGCUUCUUUAUCUUAUGACGGAAGGGUUGUUUUAGAAUCAGUCAAGCCCUACUUGCAGAGAAAAUGAAGCUGCAUGUUCUCUCCGUUGUAAGGGCACAUAACUCCACUUCUUUGCUCGACUUGUUUGUUGUGCAUAUUAUUGGUGUUGUAGAUUUUCUCCUUGCCAUCCUAUAUACUGUACUCUGGUACAUGGAGUUGAUGCGAUGGCCUGAUUCGACAGCUUGUGACCCCAGAACAAUAGCAAGCCAAUAAUGUUUCAGUAACCAUCUUGGCAGAAAUCCAGUGUCUCAUAUGAUCUGCCACUCUUGUGAUUCAGGCCAGCUGUAAUUGCAAAAUUCAGCCUGGUACAAUUGCCAAAUACUGCUCCUCGAGUGAUUCUUGAAUGUCAUAUAUCUGAGAAAGGUUGGUGUCAAUUGUUGCGUUAUGUGGUGAAGUACAACCGAUCUGAAUUUUGUAGAACUGUUGAGAUUGACAAGAUCUGAGCUUCUGUUUUUCAUUCGAUUUUUCACUGUAUGAGUGGUUCCCUUACUUUAGCAAAGAUUAAUAUUUCGUCUGUAUGUUACAAAAUCAUUCAGGGAAUGAGCAAAUUAACUUCAAA
Molecule: RNA transcript, 1692 nt
Organism: Oryza sativa Japonica Group (Japanese rice)
Lineage: Eukaryota; Viridiplantae; Streptophyta; Magnoliopsida; Poales; Poaceae
Gene name: WD repeat-containing protein DWA2
Source: RefSeq, a predicted model, not a curated record